UCCACUUAGAAAUCUUGUUAAAAUGUAGAUUCUAAUUCAGGAAAUCUGAGAUGAGACCUGAGAGUCUACAUUUCUAAAAAGCUCUCAAGUGACGCAAA
This is a microRNA precursor of Homo sapiens (human), 98 nucleotides long. It matches the Rfam family "mir-544 microRNA precursor family". NCBI's taxonomy places the organism in Eukaryota, Metazoa, Chordata, Mammalia, Primates, Hominidae. The record is from Rfam.